RNAcentral lists this ribosomal RNA (253 nucleotides) under uncultured bacterium. RNAcentral's name for it is "partial 16S ribosomal RNA". It matches the Rfam family "Bacterial small subunit ribosomal RNA", at positions 524 to 776 of the family's 1533-position model. The record is from RNAcentral.
UACGUAGGGUGCAAGCGUUAAUCGGAAUUACUGGGCGUAAAGCGUGCGCAGGCGGUUAUGUAAGACAGUUGUGAAAUCCCCGGGCUCAACCUGGGAACUGCAUUUGAGACUGCAUGGCUAGAGUAUGGAAGAGGGAAGUGGAAUUUCCGGUGUAGCGGUGAAAUGCGUAGAUAUCGGAAGGAACACCAGUGGCGAAAGCGACUUCCUGGUCCAAUACUGACGUUCAUGUGCGAAAGCGUGGGGAGCAAACAGG